Amphiprion ocellaris (clown anemonefish) is the source of this 3008-nucleotide long non-coding RNA. The record is from Ensembl. NCBI's taxonomy places the organism in Eukaryota, Metazoa, Chordata, Actinopteri, Pomacentridae.
AUACAGAGCUGUGAAAAAGUAUUUCUUCAAUCGUUCCAUAUUUCUCACACUCAGAUGUUCCACAUCAUCAAACCGGACCUUCAGGGGUCUAGUGGAGUCUAGAUACCACAGAACACCUUCAGGGGUCUAGUGGAGUCCAGAUACCACAGAUCACCUUCAGGGGUCUGGUGGAGUCCAGAUACCACAGAUCACCUUCAGGGGUCUAGUGGAGUUCAGAUACCACAGAUCACCUUCAGGGGUCUAGUGGAGUCCAGAUACCAUAGGACACCUUCAGGGGUCUAGUGGAGUCCAGAUACCACAGAACACCUUCAGAGGUCUAGUGGAGUCCAGGCCUCAAUGGGUCAGGAACCAACACAAUAUUAGGCAGGUGGUCAUAAUGUUAUGUAGGGUCAGAUUUAUUUGGUUGUAAUUUUGGCCUUUGCUCAGCUUGAUAGUAAACUUGAGCUCUAAAAACAUCAAGAUGAUUUGAUUUACAUGAUACAGAUUUUGAUAAGUAGCUUCUAGUCUUAAUAAAAGUGCAGCAUCAGCGGGUUGAUUUCAGGUCAGAGUCUUAUUGAAGAUUUCCAAGCAAUAAAAACAAUAAACAUAUAUGAUUGUUUCAUGUGAUUCCCAUCCUAAAACCUGUUCCAGACUCUGAAUUGAUGGGUGUGGAGGAGGUUCAGUAAAUGAAGAAGUGAGUUUUGGGUUGUAUUUUCACUGUCACGUCUUUCAUUCAUGUUGUAGAGGAAGCAAAAGAUGGAUUCAGUUCAAGCAGCAGCGGUUUAAACAGAGAAAAUGUUUCACGUUAAAGAUACAAUCAAAAGUAAAAUCCUGCUUGAUUUGGUCUAAACUCAAUAAAGAAAUGAGGCCCAGCUUUGUCUUGUGAUACAGAGGAAAUAAAAGAGAGCAUGUAUUUGAAUGGUCUGGUUUUACAAUCAGCUUUACAGCCAUAAAUGUGCAGCCAAAGAGACAAAGUCAGUCAGUCAGUCACUUCCUCCACCAGUAAACAGCCUCAACACUCUGCACAUCAAAGAAAAGUGGACCAGAAUUCCUCCGUGGUGAUGGAAAACACUGAUCACAAGCUGGAACAAACAUUUAACUGCAGUUGUUGCUGCCAAAGCAGUUAUUAGGUUCAGGGGGGCAAUUACUUUUUCACAGAGUGAUACAGGUCGACAACUGAGUCCAACACAUCAUGGAGACCAGUUCCAGAAGUCUGGAAUCCAUCCUGGAGGCAGCAAUGCUCAGAUCAGCAGGUGUUGACAGAAACCCGUACCUGGCUGGAGGAUACCUGAUAGGAAGCUCCCUGCUGGGCCUCCUCAUCAUCAUCGGGGUCUUCUGGUACCAUCGCAGCAAUCUCAGCCUUUUUAAAAGAUCCUGCAUCAUGUCCUUCACCUGCCAGGAAAACCGCCUCACGGGUGUUCAAGUCGUCUACAACUCUCUGAUGCUUCUGCUCAUCAUGGAUGCUGUGAAUCUGAUCGUGGGAAUAAUCUUGGGAGCUGCAAUGAUUCAAUUGUCCUGCGAUGUAAUCAACUGUGUUCAUGUAGAAAUCGCAUGGUUCCUGUCCAGGUGGUUUGGAGUGAUUAUUCAUCUUCUGAAUGCCUCAUUGUCCAUCUAUCAUCUGCAUCAGAGUGCAACCUUGGUUCCCAACGUCUACGCAUCGAUUUUUGUACUGAAUGUCAUUGUGGUUUCACUGUAUCUACAUGACACCACAGUGACCCUAUUCAUUUUGGCUGUUUUAAUGUUUCUGUUUGCUCUGGUUGUCAUUGUAACAUCUAUAGUGUCUACUUCGCCCCCGCCUACUGCCACCUUGAAGAAACUGAUCAUGGUUGUUGCCAUGUGCAACUUCCUGGUUGUCUACGCCCCCACUUUCAUUCUUCAGUGCCUCCUUUUCAGCUCACAUGACUAUGACGAGUUAGUGUAUUAUCAAAUUAUUUAUGCGAAUGUUCUGGUUUUCACAAACCUUCACCUCAUUUUCAAUGGAUUUCUGUGCGCUUUAAUCCUGAAGUUGCCUUCUGGAGAAGAACAGGAAGAACAGCAAGAACAGUGGCAACAACAAUGGCAACAACGACAACAACAGUGGCAACAACAACAGCAACAACAGUGGCAACAACAACAGCAACAACAGUUGGGUUUCCCAAAUCCAGGAUACACUGUGUCUACAAAUGUAAAUCAAUAAUGAGCAAAAUUAUGUGUCUGCACCAUAAUAAUCAAUGUGUAUCCCAACCACUGAUAGAUAAUCCAGGAUUGUUUCACUAUUCAUAAUUAUUCCUGUCUUCAUGGACUCUACCUGUUGGACAGAAGGAUGCAGCUCCUACUUCAUUCAUGUAAACCCUGAAAUCAAACAUUAAAAUCACCGUUUCACCCUCUAUGCCUGAUUUAAAAUCCAGUACAAAGCAAGAAGAAAUAUGUGAAUAUUUUCAUAAUGUGCUGACAGCGGAGAGCUGUAUAAAAUGAAGUUGAUGAACUUUUCAAAAUAAAACAUCUGUUCAAUUUGCUUGAUUGUCCAGUUAGUUAAAGGUGGAGGGUACAUCUAAAAUAUGUUAGAAUUCCUGCAAUGUUCAACUGCUUUGGAUGUAAACACCCUCAAAUUAAAGCUGAAAGUCUGCACUUAAAGCACAUUGUGUUAUUUCAAACCUUGGUCAUUUGGUAGAUUAGUAGCUAAGGGGGCGAUUACUUUUUCACAUCGGGUAAGAUGGGAUGGACAGUUUUUUUUCUCUCAACAAAUAAAACUCAGAUUUAGAUUACAGACUAGACUAAUAUGGAGAGAACUCAUCUGUUUAGUGACAUCAGAAUAAACUAUAUCUAACCUUGACCAGAGAACAGAGUCCUGACACAUCUUCCUCCUACAGCGUCUGCCUGUCGGAAGAUAAUUUGGGAUGACGUCAGCCAACAGCUGCAAGGUAAUACCUAAAUGGUAUGGAUGGAUUUAAAUAGAAUCACAAAUUUUCACUGUUGGAAAACAUCUCUGAAAUAUAGUAAAAUCAUCAUCAUCACCAUUUAAAGUACAAUCUGUCUUUUAAAUAACAGCA